Molecule: ribosomal RNA, 203 nt
Filed under: uncultured Staphylococcus sp.
Lineage: Bacteria; Bacillati; Bacillota; Bacilli; Caryophanales; Staphylococcaceae
Description: partial 16S ribosomal RNA
Rfam family: Bacterial small subunit ribosomal RNA
Source: RNAcentral
UACGUAGGUGGCAAGCGUUAUCCGGAAUUAUUGGGCGUAAAGCGCGCGUAGGCGGUUUUUUAAGUCUGAUGUGAAAGCCCACGGCUCAACCGUGGAGGGUCAUUGGAAACUGGAAAACUUGAGUGCAGAAGAGGAAAGUGGAAUUCCAUGUGUAGCGGUGAAAUGCGCAGAGAUAUGGAGGAACACCAGUGGCGAAGGCGACU